UUUCUUAAUAAUAAAGGCAAUAAAAACAAUUAAGAAGAAGAAAUGAUUCCGUAUGAAAAUACUUGACAACUUCGCUCUGCGAUAAAUACGCGCAAGCAUUACCCGACAAAUCAUUGACAAAUCCCAUAAUCCGGAUAAUUAAAGGAUAUUAACUAAACAUAAGGAGUUGCUUGUAAAGACGAUUGCAGAACCUCAGGUAGAUUCAAAGAAUGUAGAACCUUUGCCAUUUGAUGAAGAUUGAUAUUGUCAUAGGCUCCCUGCACAUCAAGGAACACACACUUCUCCUGACAUAGACAACAAAUAGUUCUUCAUAUCUAUCAGGUGGGUAGUAUACACAGAGGAUUGAAAGAGGACCGUUUGCUGUGGACAUAGAAACUGCUAUGGAUUGAAUAUCUUGAUAAAAACUAGUCUUCAGAUGUUUAUACUUAAUGGAGUUACGGAUUAAAAUACCACCGUGUCUGUCCCGAUUCUUGUAAAAAAACUGGAAUACAUAGGUAUAAGAGGUAUACCUCUAGCUCUUUUUAAAGAUUAUUUAUCUGAUAGGCAACAGUGUGUCAAAGUAGAUAAUAAGGUGAGUCAGUAUUGUAACGUAUCUUUUGGAGUGCCCCAAGGAAGCGUACUUGGGCAUACACUGUUUCUCAUCUAUAUUAACGAUUUACUAAUGUCUCAACUUAAAAAUGCAAACUUUUUCUCAUAUGCGGAUGAUACCGCUAUAGUUUUUACGGGUAAGACUUGGAAAUCUAUAGUUAGCGACACUCAAGCAGGACUCUCUCAAGUUAAUCUUUGGUUAAGCCACAAUCUACUGACCCUAAACACGCAAAAGACGAAGUAUUUAUGCCAUACUAUAAAUAAAUCCACUCAACCUCCUCCAGACCUAAAAAUAUACAUACAUAAAUAUAGCUGUCAAUCCCUGGAAGAUUGCUCUUGUCCCACAAUUGAAAAAGUUUUCUCUAUAAAAUAUCUUGGUAUACACUUAGAUCAGCACUUAACGUGGUAUGUACAUCUUGAGGCAAUAGGUAAUAGAGUAAGGAAACAUAUCUGGAUCUUUAAAAACCUACGGCACGUGGCAUCCAAGCUUCUGCUAAAUUCAAUUUACUUGGCUCUUGCGCAAUCAAUCAUAAUUUAUUGUAUUACGGUAUGGGGCAGUGCCGCAAAAACCAAGUUUUUGGAUGUAGAAAGAUCACAGAGGGCUCUUCUAAAAGUUGCCUACUUUAAACCUAGAUUGUACUCCACUGAGAAAUUGUAUAAAGAUUGUGACCUGUUGUCGAUUAGAAAACUAUAUGUUCUUCAUGCAACACUCAGAAAACAUAGAUCCAUUAUUCCUGAUCCCAUCUUUUGAAAAGAAGAAAAAAUGCAGUUGUCAUGUUGACCAGUUUUUCGAGCAGUUUUGCUGGGCGUCAAUAUAAAAUACAAACAGAACAUCUGUAUAAAGUGGUAAAUGAAAGGCUUGGUAU
Pieris rapae (cabbage white) is the source of this 1454-nucleotide long non-coding RNA. RefSeq lists it as uncharacterized. The transcript has 4 exons. The record is from RefSeq and is a predicted model, not a curated record. Lineage: Eukaryota; Metazoa; Arthropoda; Insecta; Lepidoptera; Pieridae.